This 87-nucleotide transfer RNA is filed under the name Candidatus Thioglobus sp. RNAcentral's name for it is "tRNA-OTHER". Lineage: Bacteria; Pseudomonadati; Pseudomonadota; Gammaproteobacteria; Pseudothioglobaceae (SeqCode). The record is from RNAcentral.
GGGUAGAGCGUUUCACCUCCACUCGUUGAGGUGAUUUACGGACUUUUAAUCCGCUGGUCGAGCGUUCGAAUCGCUCACGCCCCACCA